GACGAACGCUGGCGGCGUGCUUAACACAUGCAAGUCGAACGGAAAGGUCCUGCUUUUGGGGGGUGCUGGGGGGGCGAACGGGAGAGUAACACGUGAGUAUGCUGCUCCCGACUUUGGGAUAACUUCAGGAAACUAGGGCUAAGACCGGAUAGGAGCUCCUGCUGCAUGGUGGGGGUGGGAAAGAUACGGCGGUUGGGGAUGGACCCGCGGCGUUUCUGCUUGUUGGUGGGGUAGCGGCUUACCAAGGCUUUGACGGGUAGCUGGCCAGAGUGGGUGACCGGCCACUCUCGCUGUGACAUACAGCCCGGCCUCCUUCGGGCGGCAGCCGUGAGGGAGAUUGCAUGCUCAGCGGACGCCUGCUGCAGCCACGCCGGCUGCGGGAUGACGGCCUUCCGUUUGUAAACCGCUUUCGCCUGUGACGAAACGUGAGUGACGGUAAUGGGUAAAGAAGCACCGGCUAACUACGUG
Molecule: ribosomal RNA, 468 nt
Filed under: uncultured bacterium
Lineage: Bacteria
Description: partial 16S ribosomal RNA
Rfam family: Bacterial small subunit ribosomal RNA
Source: RNAcentral